Long non-coding RNA from Carassius auratus (goldfish), 1473 nucleotides. RefSeq lists it as uncharacterized. NCBI's taxonomy places the organism in Eukaryota, Metazoa, Chordata, Actinopteri, Cypriniformes, Cyprinidae. The record is from RefSeq and is a predicted model, not a curated record. The transcript has 3 exons.
UGUGUAAAGACCUCUAACUAGCUUGCUCUAUUCUUUUUUUUAUUAUAUCUGUUUUCUUUUUAUUUAUUAUAUUUUUUUAAAUCCCAUGAUACAUUUACUGUGUUAACCUAACUCAGACUUGUUAUACCAUUUAUAUAUCAUUGUUCUUUUUGUUGUUUUUGAUUGUUUCCACUGUCUUCAUUUGUAAGUCGCUUUGGAUAAAAGUGUCUGGUAAAUGAAUAAAUGUAAAUGUAAGAUGACCAUAUUCAAAAUCCUUGUCCUUGUGGGAACAUUGUUGGUCCCCAUGGGAAAACAAGUUUAUAAAUCAUACAGAAUUAUUUAUUUAUUUUAAGUGUUUGUGUAUGUGUGUGUGAUUUUUUUUUUUUUUUUUCAUUGAAAAAAAUAGCAUUUUCAUGAGUCAUUUAGUGUAGUUCUUAAUUGAAUUUAGAAACAUUCACAGAGCUGUUAUCAAAAUAGCAUAGACACAAAAUUGAGAAUGAAUGUGUGCAUAUUGUAAAUCAAUGUAAUGCACAUGGUUACUUGAAGCCUUUGAGAAAAAUAAAAUAUUGUUUACAAAUAGUUUAAAUUAUUUAGUGCUGCCUUUGGUCAAGGCAGUGGACAAAUCUGGCUGGAUGAUGUUAAAUGCUCAGGAAGUGAAGGAACCCUCACACAAUGUCCACACAAAGGACUAGGAAGUCAUAACUGUAAUCAUGGUGAAGAUGCUGGUGUUGUUUGUUCAGGCAACCUGCAGAUGUCGACCCUUUCUUUGACCUCCAGACAUUCAGAAAAUAUCCUGUUCAGAUGCACAACACCUAAACCAAGAUGCAAUGCUAAUGCUUAAUUCCAGCUCUUCAGAAACAGAAACUACAGCUGUCAAUAGUCCACAGCAACACUAUCAAGUCACCUUCGAACAAAACUGUAAGCAUUACUGUAGUGAACUUGCAGCCGCCCAGCAUUUCUCACAGUGCUCCUGAUGCAUGCAGGAGUUUUCACUUGUUCAGGCAAUCAGAUAUCACCAGGACAGAGUCGAUCAAACUGUCAAAAACUCUGCCGCCUUCUUUCCUGAGGCAGAAUAUUCAAAUGAGGGAAACUUCAGUUGUGUUUAUGAAGUUAGUGUCUCCUCACGCAACUUCAAUUCAUCUGCCUCUGAACUUCUGCUCAUCAUUAUCACAUGUGUAAGAGUCUAAAAACUAGCUGGACUGCUGGUAAUUAACCCUGAUGUCGAUGAAGAAAUUAAAGUUGAUUGUGACUGAUAUAUCUAUGAGGAUUAGACAAAAAUGGGUUAGCUAUAUUUCUUUUGGUUUUGUUACUUUCUUUCUUUUGGCACAAUCCAGUUUCCCUCCAACCUCCCCAGUUCUCCAAUAUGGUAAAGCUGCCGGUGUACUGUAUCUAGGAUUCUAUGGUAAAUAAUAAUUUUCCUUUAUUCUUAUACCUAUUUUAUUUUUGUUUUGAGUAAAUAACUGUCACAGUCUUCAAUAAUAAAACAAGAUUGCU